AAUCUGGAAAUCAUCUAGAUGCCAGCACCCAAAAACCUAGUAACAAAGGGACACAAUGGAACUGAUGGGCUUCAGUAUGAGAGGAAGCAGAGGAGACAGGAGAUACCAGAGGAAAUUGAUCUGCAGGACUCAGCUCAUUCCUAGAAUGAAGAGAUGCCAGUGAGAGGUGUGUCUGCAGGUCCUGAUCCAUACCUGGAGGAGGAGGCUCCUGUGAGAGAUGAUUUUGUCACGUUGCUCAGACGCUUGGUGCUUGGAAAUCCGUAUCAUUGGGAUCACUGGCAGUGCUGAGGGGACCUGGAGUAGGACUAGAGAGAGCCCUGGGGUCUGUGUGGAGCAAACUAUGGCUUGAGCAGUGAACACGGAACAGCUGGGAAGGUGGCCUUGCCAGGUGGAACCGGAACAUCAGGAACUUUUUCCGAAUCUAACCAGCAAGACCAGGAUUUGAAAGAUGGAGUAAGAAGAAAAAUGGAGUAGAAGAAAGGAUAUAAUGCAAUGAAUGGUACCUGGUACCUAGGAUGAAUACAUAAGAAGAAUGGAGACUUUGGUGAGGAUGGUGAGAGGAUGGAGAAAAAAGAACAAGAGUCAGCAUACGAAAACUGAGGCUGUAUGGAGCCCUCUCUCCUGAUGGGAAGUAAGGAAGGAGGAAGGAGGAAGAGGAGAAGAAGGAGUGAGAGCUCCAGUGGCUGCAGCAAGCUUAUUUAUACACUUAGGAAAUUGAAUGUCAUGUGAAACCCCUCCACAUAAUAGCUUAUCCACAUGGCUGUCUCAGGAGCCCAGUGUUCUUGAGACUAGAGCAGCUUAUUCAUGCAACUUGCCUCAGGUGCUGUGUUAUUGAGGCUGACCUUGCUCUGGCCCUGCACAUGAUCAAUCUCCAGCGUCAUCUGCUUCCUGCAGUUUUCAACAGUAAUCCCUAGUUGAGAAGGAGCACAAGAGCUUGAUGGAUGGAGCACCCUGAGCACAACCAUCUCAGGGUGUUGUGGUGGCUGGCUGAUUCCAGUCUUUGCUCCAAUGGACCCAGAGGGAACACUGGAGUAUUGUGGUCUCCUCUAGGGACAAUAAGAGUGAAGAUCAAUAUUUUUGCUUCAGCCACCACCUUUGUGCUCAGCCUUUUUGGUACCACCUGGCAAGGGAAUCUGCCACCUGCUUCUAUGGUGGAGGGAUGGGUGGAAGACCAGCUUCUGACUCAAUCCUGUUGAAACUGUCAGGAGAGGAUUACAGAUUUUGCUUGGAAUAUACUGGAUAUUGCCAAGAACAUUCUCUGUUGUAACCCACACUUUCCCAGAACUGUACAGCAAACUUACUUUUUAUUUAUUACUUACUAUUAUUGUUUUUAAAAUGUGAGUCUUGUAAAUCUAUACAUUGAAACACAAAGCUCCUGAUUAUGUCACACUGAGUCAUGCUUUUGCCAGUUUGGAAUAUAGUUUGCAAAACUGAAAAUGAUUAUGGAGUAGAAUAGUGAAGAUGUGAUGAAUAUUUAGUCAGUUUUAUUUGGAUAUAAUUUAUAUCCAAUCAAUCUUUUUUUGUGUGUGCGUUACUGGGAAUCGAAAUUAGGGCCUCACGCUUGCCAGGCAGGCACUGCACCACUGAGCUAAAUCCCCAGCCCCUCUAUCCAGUCAGUCUUAUCUCUGUUAAGUGUGUAAUUCAGUGAGUUUUAGCAGACACAUGCAACUGGGUAACUAUAACAAUAAAACACAGAAACUUUGCCUCAGCCCAGAGCCUCCCUGCUGUGCCUCGACCUUGGUGCCUCUCCCUGUCCACAGCACUAGCAGCCAGGUUUCCAUGUCUGUCACUGGAGCUGGUGCUGAAUCAUGCACAGAUGGCAGUCUCUGCCUGACCAUGGCUGUACUUGAGCUGCUUUGACUUUUGGAUGGUGUGAGAGUGAUAUACAUUCAGCAGAGACCAUAGUUUGGAUUUUGGUCUUUUCCCAUGGGCUGAUACGGGAUUCUGUGUAGCAGUGAGCCACAGCUCCUGUUAGUGCACCAGUCUUGAGGGAAGAAGUUGAGACCUACAGUGGGCUGUGUUGCUGAGCUCUCAGGUGCAGUAAGCUGAGUGUAGGAAAAGCAGUUUGAUUUGCAACAUUUUCAGCUUACCCAGGUUUAUUGGGUUGUAACCCAUGGCAAGUUAAGAAGUAGCUGUACAUACACAGUUACACAGCAUGUAGUCUUCUUGACCCUAGACCUUUACUAAACUUUAUAUCUUUGAGAUUCAUUUGUAUUGUUCAUUUAUUCAUAGUUUAUUUCUUUUUAUGGUUUGCAUACUUGUAC
This is a long non-coding RNA of Chinchilla lanigera (long-tailed chinchilla), 2264 nucleotides long. RefSeq lists it as uncharacterized. The record is from RefSeq and is a predicted model, not a curated record. The transcript is spliced from 4 exons. NCBI's taxonomy places the organism in Eukaryota, Metazoa, Chordata, Mammalia, Rodentia, Chinchillidae.